GACGAACGCUGGCGGCGUGCCUAAUACAUGCAAGUCGAACGCUUUUUCUUUCAUCGGAGCUUGCUCCACCGAAAGAAAAAGAGUGGCGAACGGGUGAGUAACACGUGGGUAACCUGCCCAUCAGAAGGGGAUAACACUUGGAAACAGGUGCUAAUACCGUAUAACACUAUUUUCCGCAUGGAAGAAAGUUGAAAGGCGCUUUUGCGUCACUGAUGGAUGGACCCGCGGUGCAUUAGCUAGUUGGUGAGGUAACGGCUCACCAAGGCAACGAUGCAUAGCCGACCUGAGAGGGUGAUCGGCCACACUGGGACUGAGACACGGCCCAGACUCCUACGGGAGGCAGCAGUAGGGAAUCUUCGGCGAUGGACGAAAGUCUGACCGAGCAACGCCGCGUGAGUGAAGAAGGUUUUCGGAUCGUAAAACUCUGUUGUUAGAGAAGAACAAGGAUGAGAGUAAAAUGUUCAUCCCUUGACGGUAUCUAACCAGAAAGCCACGGCUAACUACGUGCCAGCCGCCGCCGUAA
RNAcentral lists this ribosomal RNA (523 nucleotides) under uncultured bacterium. RNAcentral's name for it is "partial 16S ribosomal RNA". It matches the Rfam family "Bacterial small subunit ribosomal RNA", at positions 28 to 523 of the family's 1533-position model. The record is from RNAcentral.